CUGAAUUUUUAAUAAUUUAAUUGACAGAUGAAAAACAAUGAAAUUGUUACAGUAUACAUACACGACAUAAAGAGUAAAUAAAUCACAUGACUUGUGAACAAUUACCCUUUUCCCACUAUAAAAUCACAAAAAUGAAAUUCUAUUAUUGUUGACAUCAAGGAUUGAUGGACAGUCAAUGUUUCUACUAUAUACAUGUAUACCAAAGAUUUAAAAUAACACACACAAAUAUCACAAUUUUCUUUACAUUGCACUUUUCACUUCAUAAUAAUCAAAAUAACAUUACUUCUACUGUUAUUGCACAGAAAAUGGUGUAUUGCACAGUAGAUGUUUUCAUUUUAAAUUUCUUAGUAAAUGAGAAAAUGAUAAAUUAUGCACUGAUCACAAAGAAGUAAUGACCAAGUGAUGCACUAUUGGUAGUAUCCAUGACAUAUGAAUACUUAAAUUUUAAGAAGGAUGGCUAACUUUCUUUGAAUUACACAUAAAUCUACAUUUCAUGAUUAGCACUAGGCUGACUAAUAAACAUGUUUAACUUUAAAAAAUUGGAACACAUGCAUGAACCGGUCAUGUUUUUUAUACCAAAAAAGCACUAUAAAUAAAACCAACGUUUACAAAAAAAAUGCACUAUAAAUAAACCCAACGUUUACAAAAAAAAUGCACUAUAAAUAAAACCGGUCUCAAUUCAAAGCCAUCCAGCUGACAAUGAUAUGUUCCUACUUUUAAGAGACACAACCAAGAAUCAGUCAUUUGUCAGUAUCUAGAGGUCAAAAUAAUAAUGAAUAACAAAAACUUUAUACAUGCUACUAAUGGGCUG
Molecule: long non-coding RNA, 811 nt
Filed under: Mytilus galloprovincialis (Mediterranean mussel)
Lineage: Eukaryota; Metazoa; Mollusca; Bivalvia; Mytilida; Mytilidae
Source: RNAcentral